Molecule: non-coding RNA, 1151 nt
Organism: Paramuricea clavata
Lineage: Eukaryota; Metazoa; Cnidaria; Anthozoa; Malacalcyonacea; Plexauridae
Source: the annotation of a GenBank genome assembly
CCUCUGGCAACCAGGGUAGCAUGGCCCCGAAUGUUCUAAAAAGUGCAAAGCGGCUUUGAUAGUUUGAUCAUCAAAACAUAGUUUGAUCAUUUGAUAGUUUGAUCAUCAAAACAUCAAACAAAAUGGGAACAUAAUGCGAACAAAAUGCGAACAAACAUCAAAACAAAAUGCGAACAAACAUCGAACAAAAUGGCGGAUUCAAAAAAUUCAUGGGAUUGUCAUAAACGGCUGCGAAAACCUGAAAAUGUGCAAUAAAAUUUGUUUGAUGGCAUUUUCUGUUACAAGCUGCCAACUGAAAUUUUCAUAGAGUAUGUGCAUUAAUGAAGAGAUGUUGAAGAACUCUGAUUUUGGCUUUUAUAUAGAUGAAAAUUUAUAUACAGAUCCAAUACAAGGGGUGGUCAUACCAGGAAUUACUCCAUUGUGCUAAACUGGCAAUACUACCAAGCAGGUGUUUAUAGGGCAUAGCUACACUGAUGUUUAAGGUUAGGCAUGAACUGGCAUCAAGUACCCUCUCCGAAUUGUUUGUCUUCAGAAAUAACGUUAUUCUUUGAGUAAUAGUGACUUUGACAUCACAAGGAUUGAAUUGUAUGCUACGGACAAGACGUCUAGGUCCAACUAUUUAGUCAAAACUUGAAAAGGAGACCAGAUCAUCUACAAGCCUGAUAGGUAGUUUUGAAUUUUUGAAUUUUGCCAACUUUAAGCUUCUUUCACUCAAAACCGACUUGAAAAUUUGCACUACUCGCUUAAAUGUCUUAUGUAUACUUUUUUGUGGUCUUUCUGAUGAUAUAGUUUUUUUUGUGAAAAGUAAACUUGAAAUUUUGCAAUUUUAGUCAACAUGGUAGGGUUGGGCGAUAUUAAAAAAAUCAUCUCACGAUUAUUGUGGAGGAAAUUAUCGCGAUAUUCGAUAAUAUCACGAUAAAUGCAAUAAAAACAAUGACAAGUAAAACAACAAAUGAAAGUAAUAAGAAGGCUUUUUCUUGUCUAAUGUUUACUGUUCAUAAACCUGAGGCCAAAAAAAAAAAUAUGUGGGUUUCCGGUUUCCCGACCCUACCCAGCUUUUGGACGUCGAAAUCCCGACCCUAAACUUUUUUAUUGGAUCAUGCUUGUAAGUGUUUCCACUUAGAGGAAAAAGUUUGUGAAAAAUUGAAAUU